Molecule: ribosomal RNA, 253 nt
Filed under: uncultured bacterium
Lineage: Bacteria
Description: partial 16S ribosomal RNA
Rfam family: Bacterial small subunit ribosomal RNA
Source: RNAcentral
GACGUAGGGCGCGAGCGUUGUCCGGAUUUAUUGGGCGUAAAGAGCUCGUAGGCGGUCUGUCGCGUCGGAUGUGAAAACCCAGGGCUCAACCCUGGGCCUGCAUUCGAUACGGGCAGACUAGAGUUCGGUAGGGGAGACUGGAAUUCCUGGUGUAGCGGUGAAAUGCGCAGAUAUCAGGAGGAACACCGGUGGCGAAGGCGGGUCUCUGGGCCGAAACUGACGCUGAGGAACGAAAGCGUGGGGAGCAAACAGG